This 253-nucleotide ribosomal RNA is filed under the name uncultured bacterium. Its description in RNAcentral is "partial 16S ribosomal RNA". It matches the Rfam family "Bacterial small subunit ribosomal RNA", at positions 524 to 776 of the family's 1533-position model. The record is from RNAcentral.
GACGUAGGGGGCGAGCGUUGUCCGGAUUUAUUGGGCGUAAAGCGCGCGUAGGCGGCCCGUUAAGUCGGAUGUGAAAACCCGGGGCUCAACCCCGGGCCUGCAUUCGAUACUGGCGGGCUCGAGGCAGGCAGAGGAGAGUGGAAUUCCUGGUGUAGCGGUGAAAUGCGCAGAUAUCAGGAGGAACACCGGUGGCGAAGGCGGCUCUCUGGGCCUGUCCUGACGCUCAGGCGCGAAAGCUAGGGGAGCAAACAGG